CCCUUAGAUGUCCUGGGCCGCACGCGCGCUACAAUGACACAUGCAACAAGUUCUAUCCUGGCUCGGAAGAGUUUCGGGUAAUCUUUAUAAUGUGUGUCGUGCUGGGGAUCGAUCUUUGUAAUUAUGGAUCUUGAACGAGGAAUUCCUAGUAAGCAUAAGUCAUCAGCUUGUGCUGAUUACGUCCCUGCCCUUUGUACACACCGCCCGUCGCACCUACCGAUUGGAUGGUCCGGUGAAGCCUCGGGAUUGUGGUUCUUGCCGCUUUAUUGUGGCGUGACCGCGAGAACUUGUCUAAACCUUAUCAUCUAGAGGAAGGUGAAGUCGUAACA
RNAcentral lists this ribosomal RNA (329 nucleotides) under uncultured eukaryote. RNAcentral describes it as "partial 18S ribosomal RNA". It matches the Rfam family "Eukaryotic small subunit ribosomal RNA", at positions 1470 to 1796 of the family's 1831-position model. The record is from RNAcentral.